This 72-nucleotide transfer RNA is filed under the name Verrucomicrobiota bacterium. RNAcentral describes it as "Verrucomicrobia bacterium (freshwater metagenome) tRNA-Asn". It matches the Rfam family "tRNA". Rfam says of the family: Transfer RNA (tRNA) molecules are approximately 80 nucleotides in length. Their secondary structure includes four short double-helical elements and three loops (D, anti-codon, and T loops). RNAcentral also lists the same sequence under 1 other name. The record is from RNAcentral. Lineage: Bacteria; Pseudomonadati; Verrucomicrobiota.
UCCGGAGUAGCUCAGCGGUAGAGCGAUGCACUGUUAAUGCAUUGGUCGCUGGUUCGAUCCCAGCCUCCGGAG